This 73-nucleotide transfer RNA is filed under the name Bos taurus (domestic cattle). It matches the Rfam family "tRNA". Rfam says of the family: Transfer RNA (tRNA) molecules are approximately 80 nucleotides in length. The record is from Rfam by way of RNAcentral. RNAcentral also lists the same sequence under 2 other names. Lineage: Eukaryota; Metazoa; Chordata; Mammalia; Artiodactyla; Bovidae.
UCCCUGGUGGUCCAGUGGCUAAGACUCUGCGCUCUGAAUGCAGGAGGCCCAGGUUUGAUCCCUGGUUGGGUAA